RNAcentral lists this ribosomal RNA (549 nucleotides) under uncultured bacterium. RNAcentral's name for it is "bacterial SSU rRNA". It matches the Rfam family "Bacterial small subunit ribosomal RNA", at positions 356 to 896 of the family's 1533-position model. The record is from RNAcentral.
GGGGAAUCUUCCGCAAUGGACGAAAGUCUGACGGAGCAACGCCGCGUGAGUGAUGACGGCCUUCGGGUUGUAAAGCUCUGUUAAUCGGGACGAAAGGCCUUCUUGCGAAUAGUGAGAGGGAUUGACGGUACCGGAAUAGAAAGCCACGGCUAACUACGUGCCAGCAGCCGCGGUAAUACGUAGGUGGCAAGCGUUGUCCGGAAUUAUUGGGCGUAAAGCGCGCGCAGGCGGAUCAGUCAGUCUGUCUUAAAAGUUCGGGGCUUAACCCCGUGAUGGGAUGGAAACUGCUGAUCUAGAGUAUCGGAGAGGAAAGUGGAAUUCCUAGUGUAGCGGUGAAAUGCGUAGAUAUUAGGAAGAACACCAGUGGCGAAGGCGACUUUCUGGACGAAAACUGACGCUGAGGCGCGAAAGCCAGGGGAGCGAACGGGAUUAGAUACCCCGGUAGUCCUGGCCGUAAACGAUGGGUACUAGGUGUAGGAGGUAUCGACCCCUUCUGUGCCGGAGUUAACGCAAUAAGUACCCCGCCUGGGGAGUACGACCGCAAGGUUG